UAGGGAAUCUUCCACAAUGGACGCAAGUCUGAUGGAGCAACGCCGCGUGAGUGAAGAAGGUUUUCGGAUCGUAAAGCUCUGUUGUUGGUGAAGAAGGAUAGAGGUAGUAACUGGCCUUUAUUUGACGGUAAUCAACCAGAAAGUCACGGCUAACUACGUGCCAA
RNAcentral lists this ribosomal RNA (164 nucleotides) under uncultured bacterium. Its description in RNAcentral is "partial 16S rRNA". It matches the Rfam family "Bacterial small subunit ribosomal RNA", at positions 355 to 511 of the family's 1533-position model. The record is from RNAcentral.